CACGCACGCGCAGUUCAGUCCUGUAACAUAUCUAUGGGAAGAAGCGGGAAAAGCAGAGGUCGUCUGAGGCAUUUUCUACAAAAGCUUAUUUUGAGCACAUCUCCACACUCAUCCUCAGAUGGGAGGAAGAUCUCCGGAACCACGAUCAGAAUCUUGCGUUUGUGUGGAGGGUUGAUCGUCCAGACGCACUCUACAUUGGCCGGGUAGUUUCCUGGAUAGUUGGGGGACUCGAUGUACCCGAUGAACUCGCCUAUUUCACCCCCACAUUCCCGAUCUGAACACACCACCAACAAACAAGACAACAUUAUGAUUUCAAAUUAGCCUGAUUAUUCGACUGAUCAGAAGUUGUGCUUAAGAAUGAAUGGACUCACUCUUGCAUUGAGACACACUGAUGGCCCCGUCGAAGUCUGUGGUGGUGUUUCCAGGACAGGAAAUACAGUAGUUCUGUCU
Long non-coding RNA from Carassius gibelio (silver crucian carp), 450 nucleotides. RefSeq lists it as uncharacterized. The transcript is spliced from 3 exons. Lineage: Eukaryota; Metazoa; Chordata; Actinopteri; Cypriniformes; Cyprinidae. The record is from RefSeq and is a predicted model, not a curated record.